GGAUCAGGUAGGGAUACCCGCUGAACUUAAGCAUAU
Molecule: ribosomal RNA, 36 nt
Filed under: Curvularia sp. 1 RS-2015
Lineage: Eukaryota; Fungi; Ascomycota; Dothideomycetes; Pleosporales; Pleosporaceae
Description: partial 28S ribosomal RNA
Source: RNAcentral